RNAcentral lists this long non-coding RNA (426 nucleotides) under Physcomitrium patens. RNAcentral describes it as "long non-coding RNA (PPAT_LNC009314)". The record is from RNAcentral. Lineage: Eukaryota; Viridiplantae; Streptophyta; Bryopsida; Funariales; Funariaceae.
GAUUUAGAUUUUAGGAUUUAUCUAGGAUUUGGGAUUUAGGAUUUGACUAGAAAUUAGAAUUUAAGAUUUGAUUAAGAUUUGGUUUGGAUUUGAUAAGAAUUAAGGUUUAGAAUUUGAGUUUAGAAUUUAAGUGUAGGAUUUAGAUUUAGAAUUUAGGAUUUGAAUAGAAUUUUGAAUUUAUGAUUUGAAUAGGAUUUAGAAUUUAGGAUUAAAGAUUUAACUAAGAUUUUUAGUUUAGGAUUUAGGAUUUAGAAUUUGAUUAGGAUUUAGAAUUUAGGAUUUGACUAGGAUUUAGAAUUUGAAUAAGAUUUGAAUAAGAUUUGAUUAGAAUUUAAUUAGAGUUAGAUUUAAGUUUAUUUGAGAUUUACUUAAAGUGUCUUAAAUAUUAUCUAAGGAUUAUUUUAAAAUUCAUUAAAAUAUAAUAAG